UACUCGCUUGCUGUGCCUCCAUCCCCUCUCAUUUUUCUCUCUCCUCACUUUUCCCCCACCAAAAGAAAACCCUAACCCUAGAAACGGCGGCGUCCCAAUCGCCUCCCUCCUCAAUCGCUUCCCAUCGCCGGCCUUGCAUCGCCUCCCAUCGUCGAAUUUCUAGGGUUACAUUUCCUCGCCGCCGUCCCUCACCAAAUCGCGUCAAUUGUGCAGGCUGAGAUUCAAGUGAGGAAGAUUUACUGUAUCAACACUGCCGUAUCAACACGGCCGUAUUAACAUAGCUGUAUCAACACUGCCGAUUAAUAUUGAGGAUGCAGCCCGGAAGCGAUGCCGAGAUUGAAGAAGCUUUGAAGAAACAUGGAUGAUCAGAUAAACGAUUUUGCAAAUAUGGAUAGCAGGAAAACUGUCUUGCAAAGCAAGUGAAACAAUGUAUCGCCCAAGCCCCACUCCAAAAUUGAUCCAGAGGAUCAUUUCAUCGAUGUCAAGGAGAUCCGUUGCUGCCCAUCCUUGCAGGAGAGCUAAGAAAGAAGCCGUAGGGGGGACAACCUCAGACACCGUCGAUGAUGGAUCCAAGCAACCUGAUUUAAGUGAACUUUUUAGAGAUCUUUCUCCUGGAUGGCAGGCUUGGGAAUGAUGGAAUGGAAAGAAGGCAAUAUAUCUGGUGCAAGAGAACUGUACCAAAGAGCUCUAUCUGUUAACAACAGAAAGUGCAGCAUGCUGCCUUCAAGUAACAAUAUUUAAAACUGAUCUACAACAAAGGAUUAUGAAGUUAGAACUGAUCUGUAGCCAUACUUUCUGUACAACAAUUAACAAAGGAUUAUGAAGUUAGAUUAAAUGAAGUAUAUUCUAUCUCAAUGUAAAAUAGAAACUGGUGUAUGUUCUAUCUCAAUGAAGUAUUCUAUAGAGGGGUGGUGCAGGAAUGAGUAUGGUUGGGUUGGGAGGAGGUGGGGCAAAUGGUGUUCCUGUUGUAUUUCCUGCAUCUUUGUCAUCUGAUGUUCAUGGAAGGAGCAAUGGGGAUUCAUCUUCAGUUUCACCACCAGUUCGGUCCCGAGCACGAAAACAAGUUUUACUUAUUGUCCUCAUUUUCUUCUUUUGCUUUACUAUUUUGAAGUCUCCUAUGUUUUGCUUGCUUAGUUAUGUUUUUGUUUACUUAUGGUGUAUCUUUAAGCUUUAAAUGCAAGAUAUUCAUGUUAAGGCUGAUUGGUUAAACAUUGUACGGAGUAGUUUGCAAGUAUAUUGCAGUUAUCACAGGCCAACUUUGUAUUAUUAUUCUCUGAUUAAGAGAAGUUAACGGAAUUUUAAUUGAGUUACUAAUAGAUUUUGAUUA
Molecule: long non-coding RNA, 1327 nt
Organism: Spinacia oleracea (spinach)
Lineage: Eukaryota; Viridiplantae; Streptophyta; Magnoliopsida; Caryophyllales; Amaranthaceae
Exons: 3
Source: RefSeq, a predicted model, not a curated record